Long non-coding RNA from Chiroxiphia lanceolata (lance-tailed manakin), 102 nucleotides. RefSeq lists it as uncharacterized. The record is from RefSeq and is a predicted model, not a curated record. The transcript has 3 exons. Lineage: Eukaryota; Metazoa; Chordata; Aves; Passeriformes; Pipridae.
CCUGCCAUGGGCAGGGACACCUUGGAGCCCAGGUUGCUCCAAGCCCCGUCCAAGCUGACCUUGAACCCUUCCUGGGAUUGGGCAGCCACAGCUUCUCUGGGC